CUUCAACGACCCCAGGAGCAGGGGCUGUUCGGCGGGCCGAUCCUGACCGUAGGUCGCGAGGAGGGCCUGUGCUUC
RNAcentral lists this antisense RNA (75 nucleotides) under Streptomyces sp. 150FB. Its description in RNAcentral is "ASpks TB sRNA". It matches the Rfam family "ASpks TB sRNA". The record is from Rfam by way of RNAcentral. Lineage: Bacteria; Bacillati; Actinomycetota; Actinomycetes; Kitasatosporales; Streptomycetaceae.